Pelobates cultripes (western spadefoot toad) is the source of this 378-nucleotide non-coding RNA. Lineage: Eukaryota; Metazoa; Chordata; Amphibia; Anura; Pelobatidae. The record is from the annotation of a GenBank genome assembly.
AUUUGUUGUUGCGUUUUUUUAAUGGAUCAUAAAAUUUCUAAAUUAGUAUUAUUUCCCAUUUUAACUUUUACUGAUCGAUUAUAGGUAAAAAAAAAAAUGUAUUCAAUAAAUGGAGCCUAUUGUAACAGCCAAUUUAGCUCCUGAGCACGGUGAGACCCAAUUGAUUAUAGGAGAUACUACAAUCUUACAAUGCUUUUUACUAAAGUCAGAAUUAAAAGUAAAUUCCAAUUUAAGGGUAGAGUAGCCUAACUGAAAGCAUAGCUAAAACAAUAAUGUUUAUAGGUGAUCUCUAAUAAACAAAUCUGAGCACCACAGUCACUAUUAUAAUCUUACAGUUACUUGUUCAAUCGGAUCCUCAUAGGCAUAAGAAGAAUAAAG